AUUGAACGCUGGCGGCAUGCCUAACACAUGCAAGUCGAACGGCAGCAUGGUCUAGCUUGCUAGACUGAUGGCGAGUGGCGAACGGGUGAGUAACGCGUAGGAAUAUACCUUAAAGUGGGGGAUAACAUGGGGAAACUCAUGCUAAUACCGCAUAAUAUCUUAGGAAGAAAGCUAGGGACCUUCGGGCCUGGCGCUUUAAGAUUAGCCUGCGUACGAUUAGCUAGUUGGUAGGUAAAGGCCUACCAAGGCGACGAUCGUUAGCUGGUCUGAGAGGAUGGCCAGCCACACUGGAACUGAGACACGGUCCAGACACCUACGGGUGGCUG
This 326-nucleotide ribosomal RNA is filed under the name uncultured Pseudomonadota bacterium. RNAcentral's name for it is "bacterial SSU rRNA". It matches the Rfam family "Bacterial small subunit ribosomal RNA", at positions 30 to 351 of the family's 1533-position model. The record is from RNAcentral. Lineage: Bacteria; Pseudomonadati; Pseudomonadota.